AUUGAACGCUGGCGGCAGGCCUAACACAUGCAAGUCGAGCGGAUGAAGGGAGCUUGCUCCUGGAUUCAGCGGCGGACGGGUGAGUAAUGCCUAGGAAUCUGCCUGGUAGUGGGGGAUAACGUCCGAAACGGGCGCUAAUACCGCAUACGUCCUGAGGGAGAAAGUGGGGGAUCUUCGGACCUCACGCUAUCAGAUGAGCCUAGGUCGGAUUAGCUAGUUGGUGGGGUAAAGGCCUACCAAGGCGACGAUCCGUAACUGGUCUGAGAGGAUGAUCAGUCACACUGGAACUGAGACACGGUCCAGACUCCUACGGGAGGCAGCAGUGGGGAAUAUUGGACAAUGGGCGAAAGCCUGAUCCAGCCAUGCCGCGUGUGUGAAGAAGGUCUUCGGAUUGUAAAGCACUUUAAGUUGGGAGGAAGGGCAGUAAGUUAAUACCUUGCUGUUUUGACGUUACCAACAGAAUAAGCACCGGCUAACUUCGUG
This 483-nucleotide ribosomal RNA is filed under the name uncultured bacterium. RNAcentral's name for it is "partial 16S ribosomal RNA". It matches the Rfam family "Bacterial small subunit ribosomal RNA", at positions 30 to 507 of the family's 1533-position model. The record is from RNAcentral.